This 29-nucleotide small RNA is filed under the name Bombyx mori (domestic silkworm). RNAcentral describes it as "piRNA piR-bmo-1950329". Lineage: Eukaryota; Metazoa; Arthropoda; Insecta; Lepidoptera; Bombycidae. The record is from RNAcentral.
UGCCAAGCGAUUGUAUGAUGCCAAUGAUC